Long non-coding RNA from Mus musculus (house mouse), 1008 nucleotides. RefSeq annotates it as predicted gene, 34499. NCBI's taxonomy places the organism in Eukaryota, Metazoa, Chordata, Mammalia, Rodentia, Muridae. The record is from RefSeq and is a predicted model, not a curated record. The transcript has 5 exons.
CAUAGAAUGAAGGCUAUCACCAGGGGCUCACACUUCAGUUAUGAACUUUCCAUACACAGAAUCAUGGUUAAUAAAUUUGUGUUCAUUAUAAAUUUCCCAGUUUGUAUAGUUUGUUAUAGGAUCACAAAAUGGACAGAUGCCCUUCAAGCCGAUGCAAGAUGCAAGGAUGCAAAGAGCAGAGCAAAGACUAACCUGUUUUGAAGACGUUCACCAAAUGCUCUUUCACCCCCAAACUCUGGUUCAAAUCCAGCUCUUAGCUGAGGGAAUAAGAAACAUCUGAAAAGAUUUAGCGGGCUCAUCUCAAGGCCCAGUGGACUACGGUGUAUGCCAACUUGAAAAACACAACGAACAAACAAAUUUGCCACCAAUUAAGGUGUUUACAUGGAAACACUGCAGACUGAGCAGUGUGCAAAGGCCUCUUUCCCAGACCUGAAACCUGGCUCUUUAUUUCUCAACGAAGUUGCACUAAAGAUGGAGGAAAGUCUGGCCUGCACCUGUCCCUCCUCCAGCAGGCUCCCUUGGCAAACCGGAAGUUUAAUUUAAAAACAAAUCAAGGAAAGAAAACUAUUGAUUCUUUUUCGGAUUGCCUGCUUGUUAUGGAUAAAUUCACACUCCAUGAAUUUGAAAGUGCAGGAAGGGCGGUCCUCCCCAGGAGGGUCACAUGAUCAUCUCACCAGAUGCAGAAAGCACAGUUAGCAGCAAAAUUCAACAGCUCUCCAUGAUAAAAAGCCCUGUGGAAACUGGGUGCAGAAGACUAAUACCCUAGCACAGCGAGGCUGUCUACAGCAGACCUGUGACUGACCUCACAAUGGAUGUUAGAAGCUGAAGUGCUGAGCUUCACCUGUGAUGACUUCAGAGAGAGAAACUCACCAAAGAACUUCUUGUGAGAUUCUUGUGGCUUCCUGCUGAUUCCUCAGACUUGGCCACCAGGAUUGAACUGCCCUUGCUGAUUCGUGUGUGGUGUCUGCUGAGUGGGCUGGACUGCAGUUGCUGAUUCAUGUUUGGUGU